GGUCCCGCCUGCCCUGUGACUAUAUGUUUAACGGCCGCGGUAUUUUGACCGUGCGAAGGUAGCGCAAUCACUUGUCUCUUAAAUGGGGACCUGUAUGAAUGGCAUAACGAGGGCUUGACUGUCUCCUCUUUCAGGUCAAUGAAAUUGAUCUCCCCGUGCAGAAGCGGGGAUAGACACAUAAGACGAGAAGACCCUAUGGAGCUUUAGACACUAAAGCAGAUCAGCAUUAAUACCCCAAAUACGGGACACGAAUAAACUGAACCCUGCCCUAAUGUCUUAGGUUGGGGCGACCGCGGAGAAAUAAAAAACCCCCGCAAGGACUGAAUGUACUACAUUCACAACCAAGAGCGACAGCUCUAAUUAACAGAUAUUUCUGACCAAUAAGAUCCGGCAACGCCGAUCAAUGGACCAAGUUACCCUAGGGAUAACAGCGCAAUCUCCUCUUAGAGCCCGUAUCAACGAGGAGGUUUACGACCUCGAUGUUGGAUCAGGACAUCCUAAUGGUGCAGCCGCUAUUAAGGGUUCGUUUGUUCAACGAUUAAAGUCCUACG
This 551-nucleotide ribosomal RNA is filed under the name Epinephelus awoara (yellow grouper). RNAcentral's name for it is "partial 16S ribosomal RNA". It matches the Rfam family "Bacterial large subunit ribosomal RNA", at positions 1851 to 2600 of the family's 2925-position model. The record is from RNAcentral. Lineage: Eukaryota; Metazoa; Chordata; Actinopteri; Perciformes; Serranidae.